GGUUUGAUUCUGAAAGCUCAGAUUGAACGCUGGCGGGGAUGCUUUACACAUGCAAGUCGAACAGCAGCACGGACUUCGGUCUGGUGGCGAGUGGCGAACGGGUGAGUAAUGUAUCGGAACGUGCCUAGUAGCGGGGGAUAACUACGCGAAAGCGUAGCUAAUACCGCACACGCCCUUCGGGGAAAAGCGGGGACCUUCGGGCCUCGCCACUAUUAGAGCGGCCGAUAUCGGAUUGGCUAGUUUGGUGGGGUAACGGCUCACACCAAGGCGACGAUCCGUAGCUGGUUUGAGAGGACGACCAGCCACGCUGGGACUGAGACACGGCCCAGACUCCUACAGGAGGCAGCAGUGAGGCCACGGACAGCUGGAAACCUGAUCAAUAUGCAUCGCGUGUGCGGCAGAAGGCCUUCGGGUUGUAAAAGCACUUUGGCAGGAAAGAAACGGCGCAGGAUAAUACCCCGUGCAACUGACAGUACCUGCAGAAUAGCACCGGCUAACUACGUGCCAGCAGCCGCGGUAAUACACGUAGGGUGCAAGCGUUAAUCGGAAUUACUGGGCGUAAAAGCAUUGCGCAGGCAGUUCGAAGAAGAUGCUUAAGAAAUCGAGCUUAACUUUGGAACUUGUUUUUAACUACGGCUAAGUGUCAGAGGGAGGUGGAAUUCCGCGUCCUUAACUGAUGAAAUGCGUAGAUAUGCGGAGGAACACCGAUAGCGAAAAACGGGGCCUCCUGGGGGGUUCACUGGCCUUUCUCAUGCACGAAAGCGUGGGAGCAAACAGGAUUAGAUACCCUGGUAGUUCGCCCUAAACGAUGUCAACUAGCUGUUGGAGCCUUCCCGGGCCUUGUUGGUAGCGCAGCUAACGCGUGCAGGAAUUGACCGCCUGGGAGUACAGUCAUAAGUUAAAACUCAAAGGAAUUGACGGGGACCAUGCAAGCGGUGGAUGAUGUGGAUUAAUUCGAUGCAACGCAAAAACCUUACCUACCCUUGACAUGUCUGGAAUCCCGAAGAGAUUUGGGAGUGCUCGCAAGAGAACCGGAACACAGGUGCUGCAUGGCUGUCGUCAGCUCAUUGUCGUGGGAUGUUGGGUUAAGUCCACUAUGACGCAACCCUUGUCAUUAGUUGCUGCGAAAGGGCACUCUAUUAAGUUGCCGGUGACAAACCGGAGGAAGGUGGGGAUGACGUCAAGUCCUCAUGGCCAUAUGGGUAGGGCUUCACACGUCAUACAAUGGUCAGGACAGAGGGAGUCGCCAACCCGCGAGGGAGCCAAUCCCAGAAACCCGAUCAUAGUCGGAUCGCAGUCUGCAACUCGACUGCGUGAAGUCGGAAUCGCUAGUAAUCGCGGAUCAGCAUGUCGCGGUGAAUACGUUCCCGGGUCUUGUACACACCGCCCGUCACACCAUGGGAGUGGAGGUUUUACCGAAGUAGUUAGCCCUAACCAUGGAGAGGGCGAUUACCACGGUAGGAUUCAUGACUGGGGUGAAGUCGUAACAAGGUAG
Molecule: ribosomal RNA, 1495 nt
Filed under: uncultured Bordetella sp.
Lineage: Bacteria; Pseudomonadati; Pseudomonadota; Betaproteobacteria; Burkholderiales; Alcaligenaceae
Description: partial 16S-23S ribosomal RNA intergenic spacer
Rfam family: Bacterial small subunit ribosomal RNA
Source: RNAcentral